Molecule: ribosomal RNA, 497 nt
Filed under: uncultured bacterium
Lineage: Bacteria
Description: partial 16S ribosomal RNA
Rfam family: Bacterial small subunit ribosomal RNA
Source: RNAcentral
GAUGAACGCUGGCGGCGUGCCUAAUACAUGCAAGUCGAGCGAACAGACGAGGAGCUUGCUCCUCUGACGUUAGCGGCGGACGGGUGAGUAACACGUGGAUAACCUACCUAUAAGACUGGGAUAAUUUCGGGAAACCGGAGCUAAUACCGGAUAAUAUAUUGAACCUCAUGGUUCACUAGUGAAAGACGGUUUUGCUGUCACUUAUAGCUGGAUCCGCGCCGCAUUAGCUAGUUGGUAAGGUAACGGCUUACCAAGGCGACGAUGCGUAGCCGACCUGAGGGGGUGAACGGCCAGACUGGAACUGAGACACGGUACAGACUCCGACGGGGAGCAGCAGUAGAGAAUCUUACGGGAGGGACGAAAGCCGGACGGAGCAACACCGCGGGAGUGAUGAAGGUCUACGGAUCGUAAAACUCUGAUAUUAGGAAAGAACAAAUGUGUAAGUAACUAGGCACGUCAUGACGGUACCUAAUCAGAAAGCCACGGCUAACUACGUG